RNAcentral lists this ribosomal RNA (569 nucleotides) under uncultured bacterium. Its description in RNAcentral is "bacterial SSU rRNA". It matches the Rfam family "Bacterial small subunit ribosomal RNA", at positions 338 to 916 of the family's 1533-position model. The record is from RNAcentral.
CCUACGGGAGGCAGCAGUGGGGAAUAUUGCGCAAUGGGCGAAAGCCUGACGCAGCGACGCAGCGUGAGGGAUGAAGGCCUUCGGGUUGUAAACCUCUUUCAGCGGGGACGAAGCGAAAGUGACGGUACCCGCAGAAGAAGCACCGGCUAACUACGUGCCAGCAGCCGCGGUAAUACGUAGGGUGCAAGCAUUGUCCGGAUUUAUUGGGCGUAAAGAGCUCGUAGGCGGCUUGUCACGUCGGGUGUGAAAACUUGGGGCUCAACCCCAAGCCUGCACUCGAUACGGGCUAGCUAGAGUGUUGCAGGGGAGACUGGAAUUCCUGGUGUAGCGGUGAAAUGCGCAGAUAUCAGGAGGAACACCGGUGGCGAAGGCGGGUCUCUGGGCAACUACUGACGCUGAGGAGCGAAAGCGUGGGGAGCGAACAGGAUUAGAUACCCUAGGUAGUCCGACGCCGUAAACGGUGGGCGCUAGGUGUGGGGAACCUUCCACGUUCUCUGUGCCGCAGCUAACGCAUUAAGCGCCCCGCCUGGGGAGUACGGCCGCAAGGCAAAACUCAAAUGAAUUGACGG